UACAGAGGGUGCGAGCGUUGUUCGGAAUUGAUUGGCGUAAAGGGCGCGUAGGUGGUCUUAUAAGGGUGUGGUGAAAGCCCGGGGCUCAACCCCGGGUCGGCCGUGCCGACUGUAAGACUAGAGUGCUGUAGGGGCAGGCGGAAUUCCGGGUGUAGCGGUGGAAUGCGUAGAUAUCCGGAGGAAUACCAAAGGCGAAGGCAGUGUCCUGGCUGGCAUCUGACGCUGAGGCGCGAAAGCUAGGGGAGCGAACAGG
RNAcentral lists this ribosomal RNA (253 nucleotides) under uncultured bacterium. RNAcentral's name for it is "partial 16S ribosomal RNA". It matches the Rfam family "Bacterial small subunit ribosomal RNA", at positions 524 to 776 of the family's 1533-position model. The record is from RNAcentral.